Molecule: long non-coding RNA, 418 nt
Organism: Eutrema salsugineum
Lineage: Eukaryota; Viridiplantae; Streptophyta; Magnoliopsida; Brassicales; Brassicaceae
Exons: 3
Source: RefSeq, a predicted model, not a curated record
UGUGUAGCUCUGGUUUGUUUUUGCAAAGGCUGACUUGGAUGUUGUUUUUUUUGUUUUAUUUUAAACCCUUGACUCUUGUGAAUGUGCAGUUAGUGAGCUAAGCUCUAGAGUUGAUGUAAUUGGCAAUUACUAAUAAAUCCGAAAAGGUCUCAGAAAGAUAUCGUUUAAGAUUAUGUUUCCCACAACAUUUGAUUAGUUACAGUAAUUCUCUCUGAAUUUGUGUUGGAAGGAGAUAAAGAUGGGAGACUUGAGAGGAUUCUAUUGGAUUUCAUGUUUUGGAGCAUUGAUAAUCAUGCACCAGCAAAUGUGAUGCUAGUCCUUGGAGACUACAGCUCAAGUUGCGACGAGUUUAUAUGUGCUCUUAACCAUUUGAAUUUGGCAUGUUACAACAUUCACUUUGCACAUCCUCAAAAAGAUG